GUAGGUGGCAAGCGUUGUCCGGAAUUAUUGGGGCGUAAAGCGCGCGCAGGCGGUUCGUUUAAGUCUGAUGUGAAAGCCCACGGGCUCAACCGUGGAGGGUCAUUGGAAACUGGAGAACUUGAGUACAGAAGAGGAAAGCGGAAUUCCACGUGUAGCGGUGAAAUGCGUAGAGAUGUGGAGGAACACCAGUGGCGAAGGCGGCUUUCUGGUCUGUAACUGACGCUGAGGCGCGAAAGCGUGGGGAGCAAACAGGAUUAGAUACCCUGGUAGUCCACGCCGUAAACGAUGAGUGCUAAGUGUUAGGGGGUUUCCGCCCCUUGGUGCUGCAGCUAACGCAUUAAGCACUCCGCCUGGGGAGUACGGCCGCAAAGGCUG
This 375-nucleotide ribosomal RNA is filed under the name uncultured organism. Its description in RNAcentral is "partial 16S ribosomal RNA". It matches the Rfam family "Bacterial small subunit ribosomal RNA", at positions 527 to 896 of the family's 1533-position model. The record is from RNAcentral.